CUCCUACGGGCGGCCGCAGUGGGGAAUUUUGGGCAAUGGGCGAAAGCCUGAACCUGCAACCCCCGUGAAGGAUGAAAUCCCUCGGGAUGUAAACUUUGCAAGAAUGGGAAGAAUGAACGAGCGUUAAUACCGUUCGUGAUGACGGUACCACUUGAAAAAUCCCCCUAAAUCCGUGCCCCCACCCCCGCUAAUACGGGGGGCGCAAGCGUUUUUUUGUAUUUUCUGGGUGAAAAGAGCGUGUAGGCGGGCAGCGCAAGUCAGUCGUGAAAUAUCCGGGCUUAACUCGGAAAGGUCAACCAAUAUUGCGCGGCUAGAAGUGCAGGGAGAGGCAAAUGGAAUUUCUUGGUGUAGCUGUGGGAUAAGUAGAUAUCGAGAGGAACAUCCGGGGGCGAAGGCACCCUGCUGGGCCGACACUGACGCUCAGGCGCGAAAGCGAGGGGAGCGAACAGCAUUAGAUACCCCGCUAGUCCUCCCCUUAAACGAUGGAUGCUUGGUGUCUGGUGUGUGGUACUCCCCCGGUGCCGGAGCUAACGCAUUUAAUG
RNAcentral lists this ribosomal RNA (542 nucleotides) under uncultured Pseudomonadota bacterium. Its description in RNAcentral is "uncultured proteobacterium partial 16S ribosomal RNA". It matches the Rfam family "Bacterial small subunit ribosomal RNA", at positions 336 to 866 of the family's 1533-position model. Lineage: Bacteria; Pseudomonadati; Pseudomonadota. The record is from RNAcentral.